RNAcentral lists this ribosomal RNA (778 nucleotides) under uncultured bacterium. Its description in RNAcentral is "bacterial SSU rRNA". It matches the Rfam family "Bacterial small subunit ribosomal RNA", at positions 560 to 1332 of the family's 1533-position model. The record is from RNAcentral.
GUAAAGAGCUCGUAGGCGGUUUGUCGCGUCUGCUGUGAAAUCCCGAGGCUCAACCUCGGGCCUGCAGUGGGUACGGGCAGACUAGAGUGCGGUAGAGGAGAUCGGAAUUCCUGGUGUAGCGGUGAAAUGCGCAGAUAUCAGGAGGAACACCGGUGGCGAAGGCGGAUCUCUGGGCCGAUACUGACGCUGAGGAGCGAAAGCGUGGGGAGCGAACAGGAUUAGAUACCCUGGUAGUCCACGCCGUAAACGGUGGGCACUAGGUGUGGGCAGCAUUCCACGUUGUCCGUGCCGUAGCUAGCGCAUUAAGUGCCCCGCCUGGGGAGUACGGCCGCAAGGCUAAACUCAAAGGAAUUGACGGGGGCCCGCACAAGCGGCGGAGCAUGUGGCUUAAUUCGACGCAACGCGAAGAACCUUACCAAGGCUUGACAUACACCGGAAACAUCCAGAGAUGGGUGCCCCCUUGUGGUCGGUGUACAGGUGGUGCAUGGCUGUCGUCAGCUCGUGUCGUGAGAUGUUGGGUUAAGUCCCGCAACGAGCGCAACCCUUGUCCCGUGUUGCCAGCAGGCCCUUGUGGUGCUGGGGACUCACGGGAGACCGCCGGGGUCAACUCGGAGGAAGGUGGGGACGACGUCAAGUCAUCAUGCCCCUUAUGUCUUGGGCUGCACACGUGCUACAAUGGCCGGUACAAAGAGCUGCGAUACCGUGAGGUGGAGCGAAUCUCAAAAAGCCGGUCUCAGUUCGGAUUGGGGUCUGCAACUCGACCCCAUGAAGUCGGAGU